GUCCCAAUAACGAGCGCCAACCCCUUACCUUUAGUUGCCAUCAAGGUUAAGCGUGGGGACUACUAAAGGAACUGCCUACGCAAGUAGUGAGGAAGGCGGGGAUGACGUCAAAUCAGCACGGCCCUUACGUCCAGGGCUACACACGUGCUACAAUGGCCGAUACAGAGGGCAGCUACCUGGUGACAGGAUGACAAAUCUCCAAAGUCGGUCUCAGUUCGGAUCGGAGUCUGCAACCCGACUCCGUGAAGUUGGAUUCGCUAGUAAUCGCGCAUCAGCCAUGGCGCGGUGAAUACGUUCCCGGGCCUU
Molecule: ribosomal RNA, 306 nt
Filed under: uncultured Sphingobacteriales bacterium
Lineage: Bacteria; Pseudomonadati; Bacteroidota; Sphingobacteriia; Sphingobacteriales
Description: bacterial SSU rRNA
Rfam family: Bacterial small subunit ribosomal RNA
Source: RNAcentral